RNAcentral lists this ribosomal RNA (494 nucleotides) under uncultured bacterium. RNAcentral's name for it is "partial 16S ribosomal RNA". It matches the Rfam family "Bacterial small subunit ribosomal RNA", at positions 28 to 507 of the family's 1533-position model. The record is from RNAcentral.
GACGAACGCUGGCGGCGUGCUUAACACAUGCAAGUCGAACGGUGAAGCGCCUUCCUUUUUGGUGGGUGUGGAUGAGUGGCGAACGGGUGAGUAACACGUGAGUAACCUGCCCCCUUCUUCUGGAUAACCGCAUGAAAGUGUGGCUAAUACGGGAUAUUCUGGGUCUGUCGCAUGAUGGGUCUGGGAAAGAUAUUGUUUCGGUGGGGGAUGGGCUCGCGGCCUAUCAGCUUGUUGGUGGGGUGAUGGCCUACCAAGGCGGUGACGGGUAGCCGGCCUGAGAGGGUGGACGGUCACACUGGGACUGAGACACGGCCCAGACUCCUACGAGAGGCAGCAGUGGGGAAUAUGGCACAAUGGGCGCAAGCCUGAUGCAGCGACGCCGCGUGAGGGAUGGAGGCCUUCGGGUUGUGAACCUCUUUCGCCAGUGAAGCAGGCCUGCCUCGUUUGUGGGUGGGUUGACGGUAGCUGGAUAAGAAGCGCCGGCUAACUACGUG